GAGGCAGCAGUGGGGAAUUUUGGACAAUGGGCGAAAGCCUGAUCCAGCAAUGCCGCGUGUGUGAAGAAGGCCUUCGGGUUGUAAAGCACUUUUGUCCGGAAAGAAAUCCUUGGCUCUAAUACAGCCGGGGGAUGACGGUACCGGAAGAAUAAGCACCGGCUAACUACGUGCCAGCAGCCGCGGUAAUACGUAGGGUGCGAGCGUUAAUCGGAAUUACUGGGCGUAAAGCGUGCGCAGGCGGUUUGCUAAGACCGAUGUGAAAUCCCCGGGCUCAACCUGGGAACUGCAUUGGUGACUGGCAGGCUAGAGUAUGGCAGAGGGGGGUAGAAUUCCACGUGUAGCAGUGAAAUGCGUAGAGAUGUGGAGGAAUACCGAUGGCGAAGGCAGCCCCCUGGGCCAAUACUGACGCUCAUGCACGAAAGCGUGGGGAGCAAACAGGAUUAGAUACCCUGGUAGUCCACGCCCUAAACGAUGUCAACUAGUUGUUGGGGAUUCAUUUCCUUAGUAACGUAGCUAACGCGUGAAGUUGACCGCCUGGGGAGUACGGUCGCAAGAUUAAAA
This 561-nucleotide ribosomal RNA is filed under the name uncultured bacterium. RNAcentral describes it as "bacterial SSU rRNA". It matches the Rfam family "Bacterial small subunit ribosomal RNA", at positions 345 to 899 of the family's 1533-position model. The record is from RNAcentral.